Molecule: transfer RNA, 67 nt
Filed under: Loxodonta africana (African savanna elephant)
Lineage: Eukaryota; Metazoa; Chordata; Mammalia; Proboscidea; Elephantidae
Rfam family: tRNA
About the family: Transfer RNA (tRNA) molecules are approximately 80 nucleotides in length. Their secondary structure includes four short double-helical elements and three loops (D, anti-codon, and T loops).
Source: Rfam by way of RNAcentral
GUGGCUAAGUGGUUAAAGCAAUUGGCUGCUAAUCAAAAGUUCGGUGGUUUAAACACACCAGCCACCC